This 72-nucleotide transfer RNA is filed under the name Coccidioides posadasii C735 delta SOWgp. RNAcentral's name for it is "tRNA-Pro (TGG) (tRNA-Pro-TGG-1-1)". It matches the Rfam family "tRNA". From Rfam's summary of the family: Transfer RNA (tRNA) molecules are approximately 80 nucleotides in length. Their secondary structure includes four short double-helical elements and three loops (D, anti-codon, and T loops). Lineage: Eukaryota; Fungi; Ascomycota; Eurotiomycetes; Onygenales; Onygenaceae. The record is from RNAcentral. RNAcentral also lists the same sequence under 14 other names.
GGCCUUGUGGUCUAGUGGUAUGAUUCUCGCUUUGGGUGCGAGAGGCCCCGCGUUCGAAUCGCGGCAGGGCCC